RNAcentral lists this long non-coding RNA (1113 nucleotides) under Olea europaea subsp. europaea. Lineage: Eukaryota; Viridiplantae; Streptophyta; Magnoliopsida; Lamiales; Oleaceae. The record is from RNAcentral.
UUUCAUUUCACACGGCUUUAUUUAGAAAAUGAAAAAGGGAUCUUCCUCACCUCAACGGUCUUAUAGAGGGCUUUUAGUCAAUUUGAAAAGAUAGGGGGUCUUUUGUAAUAGGUUCAUAAGAUAAGGGGUGUUUGUACCAAUAAGCAAUUAUUCUUGAAUUUCUUUUUCAUAUACUUUUCAACAAAAAGCAAAACAGUAAAUUAAUGGAUAAAAAAGAAGAAAAAAUGUAGAGGAACACAUUAGAGACAUUGCCACAGAAGCAAAAAACAUUAAUCGACUCAAAUUCUUUUUCCUUGAGCAUUUUCAAGCAAUGAGAAAUCAUUCAAAUAGUGCAUGACUCUUUCUUUGACCUAAGCAAAUUUGAAUAUCCUUUUUUUCCCUACCGUUUGCUUCAGCAAAUCAAAAAAUGUUGCGGAUAUCUUGAACUUUGGCUGAAAAUUUUCGAAAAGGAAGAGCAUCAGGACGUGUAUGAGUGUGGAUGCAAAAUAAUGAGUCAGAAAUGGUAGUGUGCACAAGAUAUGCACUAAAAUGCACUUGAUGUUCACAUCCCAUAAAUUUUGUGGCCCAUGUGCAUAUACAGGUAUUAAAUUCUGAGUUAAUAGAAGUUAGCACAAGUGCAUUACUGUCAAAACCUUUUUGUACAGAUACCAGCCCUUCUCCGUUGCUAUCUUCAACCAUUCUUCCAGCGUUUUUCAUCUCUAACAUCAUAUGAUUUAAUCAACUUCAGAGUGAGUGAGAGAAGGAAUGCUUGUGGCUUCAUCUUCAUUAACUUUCCCCAUGAUUAAUUACAAGCUUCAGACAAAAUCUCCGAAAAAAGCUGUCCAAAAUUAUUAAUGACAUUCUACAGACUACAUGGCUAGCAAAACAAUUGUCUAAACAACUAAUUGAACACUUUAGAGUCCCCAUGUGUAAAAUAAAUAUUAAAAAAUAAUAAAGAAUUGUAAAGGAGAAAAAAAAUAGUUGUCGGGAAUUUGCUGCCAGACAACCCCCAACAGGCGAUGAUGUUUAAAGGUUAAUUUCAUAGAUUUUGGCCAAUGGUUGAAAUAGGAAAUCAACACCACCAUUAAUACGUCGACCUGAAAAACUAAGUGGGUCAUUUGAAGCAACAUUUUU